This is an unclassified non-coding RNA of Erinaceus europaeus (western European hedgehog), 330 nucleotides long. Its record names the gene 7SK. It matches the Rfam family "7SK RNA". From Rfam's summary of the family: 7SK was discovered as an abundant small nuclear RNA in the mid-70s but a possible function has only recently been suggested. Two independent studies have found that 7SK RNA binds the CDK9/cyclin T complex (known as elongation factor P-TEFb). P-TEFb activates transcription by phosphorylating the C-terminal domain of RNA polymerase II. The record is from Ensembl. NCBI's taxonomy places the organism in Eukaryota, Metazoa, Chordata, Mammalia, Eulipotyphla, Erinaceidae.
GGAUGUGAGGGAGAUCUGACUGUGACAUCUGUCACCCCAUUGAUCACCAGGGUUGAUUCAGCUGAUCUGGCUGGCUAAGAGGGUGUCCCCUUCCUCCCUCACCGCUCCAUGUGCGUCCCUCCCAAAGCUGUGUGCUCAGUCCAAGAGGACGGCCUUCCCCAAUAGAGAUGGACCGGUCUUCGGUUGAGGGUAUAUGAGUAGCUGCGCUCCCCUGCUAGAAUCUCCAAACAAGCUCUCAAAAUAGCAUAUAAAAUAAAAUCCAGGAAUAUGUGCCCCAAUCACAUUAUAAACGGUAAAAACAUAUGCAUAUGUUCAUAUAUAUAUAUAUAU